CCGAGUUAGGGUGCUUUUCAGCGCCCGACCUCCCAACCCUGUGUCUAUGUUACCUCUGUUGCUUCGGUGGGCCGGACUCGACCAACUGGUCUUGACCGCCGGGCCUUUGUGCCUGGAGAGCCGCCCGCCGAUGGCCAUAACAUAAACUCUUGAACCUAAAUAUUGUCGUCUGAAUUCAAUAUAUCAAUCAAAAACA
RNAcentral lists this unclassified non-coding RNA (196 nucleotides) under uncultured fungus. RNAcentral describes it as "sequence contains ITS1". Lineage: Eukaryota; Fungi. The record is from RNAcentral.